This 1112-nucleotide ribosomal RNA is filed under the name Leptammina grisea. RNAcentral describes it as "partial 18S ribosomal RNA". It matches the Rfam family "Eukaryotic small subunit ribosomal RNA", at positions 1160 to 1790 of the family's 1831-position model. Lineage: Eukaryota; Foraminifera; Astrorhizida; Saccamminidae. The record is from RNAcentral.
AAGGGCACCACAAGAACGCGUGGAGCAUGUGGCUUAAUUUGACUCAACCGGGAAAUCUUACCGGGUCCGGACACACUGAGGAUUGACAGGCAAUUAUUGUGCUUUGUAACUUUUUUUUAAGUUGCUUACACAACAACAAAUUAUGCUAGUCCUUUCAUGAUUAUGUGAUAGGUGGUACAUGGCCGUUCUUAGUUAGUGGAGUGAUCUGUCUGCUUAAUUGCGUUUCAUCAGGGACCAUGUUUAUUUAUGUACUUUCUUACUCGCUUUUUAAGCACUUUUUGUGUUUUUUAAGCUUGUACUUUAGUGCAAUUGGUCCUGAAAGCAACGAACGUGACCGCAUCCUCUUGUUGCCUUUUUAACUUGAGUUGUUUACACUUCUCAUAACAUAAGAGGCUUUCCUAAAACUAGAGGGACCGCUGCGACUUUUUUAAACCAGAGGAAGGUUGCGGCAAUAACAGGUCUGUGAUGCCCUUAGAUGUUCCGGGCUGCACACGUGCUACAAUGAUUAUUGCAGUGAGCAUCUCAUUUUAUUUUUUGUGCUUGUCUUGUCUGACUCUUUUACGAGGGAAAGACGACAGCCUUAGCCUGCUUCGAAAGUUCGCAGGUAAUCAAUUGGAAGUAAUGAUUUCCCUUUCUCUUUUUUUAUUACAUAUAUAUUUUUUUGUGAUUUCUUUAAUUAAGCGAGCACACAAUAUGUCUGCUCUCUCGCCCUGUCUGUAGUCUUUUGUAGUUUUCUUUUUUUAAAGUCUGCUCUCAAGCUCAGAUUGUGUUUUGUGGGAGUGUGUUUGUCUUUUACUUUAGCGUGUGUCUUGUAUUUAUAUGAGGUGCAUUGUCUUUAGUCUUAAAAGCAACUAUCAGCAUGUGCUUUUUGUUAAUUCAAGGUGGGGACAGACCAUUGUUAAUUAUUGGUCUCGUUUCAACUAGGAAUGCCUUGUACGGGUCUUUGGUUCAACAAACCACCCGGAAUACGUCCCUGCCCUUUGUACACACCGCCCGUCGCUCUUACCGAUGGACUUCUCUGUGAGUUUGAGGGACUGGGUUGCUUACUCUUAUGUCAAGCAAACACCUAUGGAAACUUAAACGAACAGUGUGGUCUAAAGGAAAGAGAAGUC